Molecule: long non-coding RNA, 2055 nt
Filed under: Mus musculus (house mouse)
Lineage: Eukaryota; Metazoa; Chordata; Mammalia; Rodentia; Muridae
Description: long non-coding RNA chrX:123582174-123584229
Source: RNAcentral
GAGGAAGGAAGGUGACGAGUAUCAGAUGAUUGGUAUCAGUCUAUUUUUACCAGGUCCUCAUAACUAUAAUCAUUAGCUGCUCCAUUAAUUUUUAUUCUGAUCUUGUUAACUGUGGCAUUGUGUAUCCUCACCUUCAUGACUAACUAUUCACUCCUUGAACAAGAUGAGUCAGUAAUUUGACUUAUACCCAUAGAAGGGGUGGGGGAAUGUGACAAGGUCAAACAAAACUAAAGGUCAACAUAUCCUAGAUAACUUAUCUUAUGUUAAACUGCCUGUUUGUGGGAAUCCCCUCUAGUUAGCCACUUAGCUUCUGUUAAAGCUGAUUCCUUUAAAUUCCAUGCUUUUGUAAUUACAUCUGUCUGCUGAGAGAGAUGCCUGGACAUGGUUUCUGCUUUUAAAAUCCCCAUUUUCUGGACACUUGGCUCCAUACUUCCUUUAAUCUGAUCAUUUCUUGUGUGUCAAAUUCCUCUAUUUGUUUUGUUUAUUUAGUUUGGUUUCUUAAAUUUAUUUAUAUAUUUAUUUGUAUUCUAGCCUUUGCCACCCUCCAUGCCCCCCUCCCAAAAUACCUCACCUCUGUCGCAAAGAGGAUGUUCCUUCAACACAAGGAUUCCCCACUACCAGGGACCUCAGUCUCCAGAGGAUUCUCUGGGCUUAUUUUCUCCCACAGAGGACAGAACAGGGAGUCCUCUGCUAUAUAUGUACUAGAAUCCUCUGGCCAGCUCCUGUAUACUGCCUAGUUAGUGACACACUGUGUGGGAGCUCCCAGGGGUCUUAGCAAGUUGAGCCUUUUUGUCUUUCUAUGCUUCUUCCUUCCUUCUCCUAAUUCAAACAUAGAGGUCCCAACUUCAGUCCAAGGAUUCAGUGUAAGUAUAUGCAUCUGUCUCAGUCAACUGUUGGUCUAGACUCUCAGAGGACACCCUUGAUCAGCCCCUAAGCACAUCAUAGCAUCAGUAAUAUUUUCAGGCCUUGGUAUCUCCCCAUGAGGUGGAUCCCUAGUUGGGCCUGUCACUGGAGCUCACUUCCAACAGUCUCCUCUCCGUUUUUUUUUUCCAUUUUUAUUAGAUAGUUUUUUUAAAUUUACAUUCCAAAUGCUAUCCCUUUUCCAGGUAUCUCCUCCAAAAAUUCCUUAUCCAUCUGUCCUGCCCCUGCUCAACAACCAUCCACUCCUGCUAAUGGGCCCUGACAUUCACCUACACUGGAAAAAAGAGCCUUCACAGGACCAAGGACUUCUUCCAUUGAUGACCAACUAGGCCAUCCUCUGCUACAUAUGCACCUGGAGCCAUGAGUCCCACUUUUGUACCCUUUGUUUGGUGGUCCCUGGGAGCUAUGGGUAUACUGAUCAGUUCAUAUUAUUGUUUCUCCUAUGGGUCUGGAAAUUCCUUUAGCUCCUUGGGUACUUUCUCUAUCUCCCUCAUUGAGGACCCUGUGCUCAGACCAAUGAAUGGCUGUGAGCAUCCACUUCUGUAUUCAUGAGACACUAGAAGAUCCUCUCAGUAGACAUCUAUAUCAAGUACCUGUCAGCAAGCACUUGUUGGGAUCCACACUAGUGUCUGAGUUUAGCGAUUGUAUAUGGGAUGGAUCCCCAGGUGGGGAAGUCUAUGGGUGGUGACUCCUUCAGUCUCUGCUCUACACUUUGUCUCUGUAAUUCCUUCCAUGGGUAUUUUGUUCCUCAUUCUAAGAAGACUUGAAUUAUCCUCACUUUGGUCUUUAAUUGUUUCCCAACCAAAAUAAGAAACCCAGGACCAGAUGGGUUUAGUGCAGAGUUAUAUCAGUCCUUCAAAGGAGACCAAAUAUCAAUACUCUUCAAACUAUACCACAAAAUAGAAACAGAAGGUACUCUACCCAAUUUGUUCUAUGAAGCCACAAAUAUUCUGAUGCCUAUACCAAACAUAGACCUACAAAGAAUAUUUCAGACCAGUUUCCCUUAUGAAUAUCAAUAGAAAAUUCUCAAUAACAUUCUCCCAAAUGAAAUGCAAGAACACAUCAAAAUGAUCAUCCAUCAUGAUUCAGUAGGCUUCAUCCCAGGAAAAUCCAUUAAUGUAUCCCACAAAAUAU